Molecule: unclassified non-coding RNA, 267 nt
Filed under: Hevea brasiliensis (rubber tree)
Lineage: Eukaryota; Viridiplantae; Streptophyta; Magnoliopsida; Malpighiales; Euphorbiaceae
Source: RNAcentral
UUAAAAGAAAGGUUUAAUUUUGUUAGUUGAGGAUAUAUAUUAUAAAGAAGUUUGUGAGAAUGUUUUUGUUUAGAUUUUGUAUGACGAUAUUUUUUUUUUUAACGAUAUCGUUAAAGUAAUUUAAAUAUUAAUUUGUAGAAUUUAUAAAAAUAGAGUUUUAAAGUUGUUUUGUAAAAAGAAAGGUUUUAUUUUGUUAGUUGAGUAUAUAUAUUAUAAAUUUGUUUUUGAGAAUUUUUUUGUUUUGUUUUUAUGGGAAGAUAUUUUUUU